GACGAACGCUGGCGGCGUGCUUAACACAUGCAAGUCGAACGGAAAGGCCCUGCUUUUGUGGGGUGCUCGAGUGGCGAACGGGUGAGUAACACGUGAGUAACCUGCCCUUGACUUUGGGAUAACUUCAGGAAACUGGGGCUAAUACCGGAUAGGAGCUCCUGCUGCGUGGUGGGGGUUGGAAAGUUUCGGCGGUUGGGGAUGGACUCGCGGCUUAUGAGCUUGUUGGUUGGGUAGUGGCUUACCAAGGCUUUGACGGGUAGCCGGCCCGAGAGGGUGACCGGCCACAAUAGGACUGAGGGACGGCCCAGACUCCUACGGGAGGCAGCAGUGGGGAAUAUUGCACAGUGGGCGGAAGCCUGAUGCAGCAACGCCGCGUGCGGGAUGACGGCCUUCGGGUUGUAAACCGCUGUCGGCUGUGACGAAGCGUGAGUGACGGUAACGGGUAAAGAAGCACCGGCUAACUACGUG
RNAcentral lists this ribosomal RNA (468 nucleotides) under uncultured bacterium. Its description in RNAcentral is "partial 16S ribosomal RNA". It matches the Rfam family "Bacterial small subunit ribosomal RNA", at positions 28 to 507 of the family's 1533-position model. The record is from RNAcentral.